GCAGAUGUAGCUCAGUGGUAGAGAGCUUGCCUCGCAUGCACUGGAUCCUGGGUUUGACUCCCAGCACUUCA
Molecule: transfer RNA, 71 nt
Filed under: Ictidomys tridecemlineatus (thirteen-lined ground squirrel)
Lineage: Eukaryota; Metazoa; Chordata; Mammalia; Rodentia; Sciuridae
Description: Spermophilus tridecemlineatus (thirteen-lined ground squirrel) tRNA
Rfam family: tRNA
About the family: Transfer RNA (tRNA) molecules are approximately 80 nucleotides in length.
Source: Rfam by way of RNAcentral